RNAcentral lists this ribosomal RNA (774 nucleotides) under uncultured Neocallimastigales. RNAcentral describes it as "partial large subunit ribosomal RNA". It matches the Rfam family "Eukaryotic large subunit ribosomal RNA", at positions 22 to 635 of the family's 3401-position model. Lineage: Eukaryota; Fungi; Neocallimastigomycota; Neocallimastigomycetes; Neocallimastigales. The record is from RNAcentral.
GUACACGCUGUGACUAGCAUAUCAAUAAGCGGAGGAAAAGAAACUAACAAGGAUUCCCCUAGUAACAGCGAGUGAAGCGGGAAGAGCUCAAAUUUGAAAUCUUAAAGGGUUUCCCUUUACGAAUUGUAGUUUAAAGAAGUGUUUUCUGUUGAGGUUUUGGUAAAAGUUCUUUGGAAUAGGACAUCAUAGAGGGUGAGAAUCCCGUAUUUGACCUUUACUUUCAACUUUGUGAUACACUUUCAAAGAGUCGGAUUGUUUGGGAAUGCAGUCCAAAAUGGGUGGUAAAUUUCAUCUAAAGCUAAAUAUUGGCGAGAGACCGAUAGCGAACAAGUACCGUGAGGGAAAGAUGAGAAGAACUUUGAAAAGAGAGUUAAACAGUACGUGAAAUUGUCAAAAGGGAAGCGUUUAACACCAGUGUUGUUUUUCUGAAAAUCAAUUAAAGAACUGUUUAUGCUAAGCUGUUUAGACUUUAUCAGCUAUCUGUUUAGUUUUGAGCUUUUCUUUAAUGCACUUUUCAGUUAACAAGUCAACAUCAAUUUCUUUUGCUGUAAAAAAGCUUGAGGAAGGUGGCUUGAGAUUCGUCUUAAGUGUUUAUAGCCUCUUGCCUAUGCAGUCGGAGAGAUUGAGGUCUGCAGCGUAGAUCCUUCGGGGCUAAAUGCAUUUGUGCUAAGUUAUAGCAUUUUAUAGACAACUUGUUGACUAUGAUUUGUCUUGUAGCUUACUCGCUUAUGUUAUUUUACCUACGCUUAGGAUGUUGAAGAUGUAGCACAUCAU